UAUGGAGGAUGCAAGCGUUAUCCGGAUUCACUGGGUUUAAAGGGUGCGUAGGCGGGCAGGUAAGUCAGUGGUGAAAUCUCCGGGCUUAACCCGGAAGCUGCCGUUGAUACUAUCUGUCUUGAAUAUCGUGGAGGUAAGCGGAAUAUGUCAUGUAGCGGUGAAAUGCUUAGAUAUGACAUAGAACACCCAUUGCGAAGGCAGCUUACUACACGAUCAUUGACGCUGAGGCACGAAAGCGUGGGGAGCAAACAGG
Molecule: ribosomal RNA, 253 nt
Filed under: uncultured bacterium
Lineage: Bacteria
Description: partial 16S ribosomal RNA
Rfam family: Bacterial small subunit ribosomal RNA
Source: RNAcentral